Molecule: non-coding RNA, 961 nt
Filed under: Parastrellus hesperus (Western pipistrelle)
Lineage: Eukaryota; Metazoa; Chordata; Mammalia; Chiroptera; Vespertilionidae
Description: 12S ribosomal RNA
Rfam family: Bacterial small subunit ribosomal RNA
Source: RNAcentral
CACAGGCUUGGUCCUAGCCUUUCUAUUAGUUAUUAAUAAACUUACACAUGCAAGAAUCCUCGCCCCAGUGAAAAUGCCCUCUAAACCAUUAGCGGUAAAAAGGAGCUGGUAUCAAGCACACUAAAAGUAGCUCAAAACACCUUGCUUAGCCACACCCCCACGGGAAACAGCAGUGAUAAAAAUUAAGCAAUAAAUGAAAGUCUGACUAAGUUAUAUUACUAAGGACUGGUAAAUCUCGUGCCAGCCACCGCGGUCAUACGAUUAGGCCAAACUAAUAGAUACACGGCGUAAAGAGUGUUUUAGGAUAUAACAACCAAUAAAAUUAAACCUUAACUAAGCUGUAAAAAGCUACAGUUACCGUAAAAUACGUUACGAAAGUAAUUUUAAAAAACCUGAUUACACUACAGCUAAGACCCAAACUGGGAUUAGAUACCCCACUAUGCUUAGCCCUAAACAUAAAGAAUUCUUUAAACAAAAUUAAUCGCCAGAGAACUACCAGCAAAAGCUAGAAACUCAAAGGACUUGGCGGUGCCUUAUAUCCCCCUAGAGGAGCCUGUUCUAUAAUCGAUAAACCCCGAUAUACCUCACCAAUCUUAGCUAAAUCAGCCUAUAUACCGCCAUCUUCAGCAAACCCUAAUAAAGGAAGCAUAGUAAGCAGAAUCAUUAGCAUAAAAACGUUAGGUCAAGGUGUAGCUUAUAGAUUGGAAAGCAAUGGGCUACAUUUUCCUCCCAUUAAGGAAAACACUAAACGAAAACUUAUAUGAAAAUAUACGUUAAAGGCGGAUUUAGUAGUAAAUUAAGAAUAGAGUGCUUAAUUGAAUAGGGCCAUGAGGCACGCACACACCGCCCGUCACCCUCCUCAAAUAAAAAUAUCUAUAAUUACAUAAAACCUAGUAUAUUAACCUAUGAGAGGAGACAAGUCGUAACAAGGUAAGUGUACUGGAAAGUGCACUUGGAUAAC